CCCCCCAAUUUGUGUUGUGAUGUUGGCGCGUAGCAUUUUGUUCGUUACGGUUCCCCGAACCAAGUCCCCCCCUCCAACUUUAGGUGACGAUGACAUCGUUCAGGGGGGCAGCAGCCGUUUUUUCAGUACGAUUUAAUUGCACUAACUUGUUUUGUUUUUUGUUUUGCUUUUGUUUUUGUUACCAAAUGGUGAACCUUUUGUUUAUUUAUGCAAAUUACCAGCGGCGUUUCGGUGGUUGUGGUGAAGGCUGAUAAGCUCCCUUUCUGCCCUCUGUCUCUGCCUCUGCCUCUCUGCCUGUACGUAAUGAUUGUGAAUCUGCCCCGCGGCCCAAGAGAUUGGGAGAUUGUGAACAGCAAGAUUUGAAGCCAGUUUUCUCAAUUUCGAUUCCACAAAAAUUUAUUAAAAGAGGAAUUGACAAAAAGCACCUAUAGAACAUUAGUAUGGAAUUAUAAGGGCUUUACCAAUCAAUCGUGGCUAAGAAUCAUCAGUAAUCAAAUCUAUAGGCUGUCGCUUUUAAGCAAUUAUGGCGAUAAGGGAUUCGAGAACGGGCCUAUUUCCCUGCGACUUUCACGAUACUGCGGUUUUGUGCACUGUCGUAGGCGUUGCUUAAAGAGGGAACAGGUUUGCGCCUGAAAGUAUUUACGUGCAACCAGUUGGGGCUCCAACGGCAGUUUUCCCCACCCCAGCGACAAGGCCUGGUUGGCCCUACUAUGGCUUCGGGCAUGGCUUCCGCUUUUAAUUACAUGCAGCGGGGGUGAGGCAGAGAGGAGGCGAGAGGUAUCCGUUGUAAUUAGAACGUGGCUUCGAAAUUUUAUUUUUUGGAUCCGAAAACAGCGAGCCCUAACUGUAUCCGACAUAUUUGUCUUUCCCGCUGCUGACAUUGCUAAUUAACAAGUGGUGCUCCGUACAAUUAACCUUAUGGCGUUCCGUAUGUAAAUGUAUUUCCCCCAGACGAUCAGAUAGAUUCUAGAAGAACAACAACUACCGAACAACCAAACCCAAUUAUUGACAAUACAGAAACGAUUAUGAAUCACUUGUUGACUAUGAAUUUCCAGUUUCCUCUCCAGCGUGGCGUACAUCUGGCAAAUGGCAAAUUACACAUUAAGUAACAAAUGGAAUUGUCCCUCAAGAGGAAUGAAAUGCCAUUAUGAUGAAGGAAAAGCUCUCGGUAGCGCGGAUUUGGAAAGCAGCAUGCGUCACACUUGAGUUAAUUCGCAAAUUAUCAUCCCACUUAUCCACCACCCCACAGGGAAAAAUCUAAUGAAAGCCCCCUCCUCGUUCGCGAACGGAUCAGCAUGGAAGUUGUUUCCACAGCUGGCCAAGCAACUGGGCUGUGAGAUCUUUGGUUCUGCGAGAGUAUCAGGCGGAUAAAUAUUACACAUUCUAUAUGUAUAUACAUACAUAUGUAUGUACAUAGAUAACUAAAUAUUAAAAAUCUGUAUAUUCGAUUGGAAAAUAGGGACGCCAUUAUUGUGUUCUUUAUUUCGUGUGUGGCUAACCGCAAACAGGCAGCGUAGUCAAUAUAAUCUCCAUUAAAAAUCGUAUCUUGAUUA
Long non-coding RNA from Drosophila pseudoobscura, 1553 nucleotides. RefSeq lists it as uncharacterized. NCBI's taxonomy places the organism in Eukaryota, Metazoa, Arthropoda, Insecta, Diptera, Drosophilidae. The transcript has 2 exons. The record is from RefSeq and is a predicted model, not a curated record.